Molecule: ribosomal RNA, 468 nt
Filed under: uncultured bacterium
Lineage: Bacteria
Description: partial 16S ribosomal RNA
Rfam family: Bacterial small subunit ribosomal RNA
Source: RNAcentral
GACGAACGCUGGCGGCGUGCUUAACACAUGCAAGUCGAACGGAAAGGCCCUGCUUUUGUGGGGUGCUCGAGUGGCGAACGGGUGAGUAACACGUGAGUAACCUGCCCUUGACUUUGGGAUAACUUCAGGAAACUGGGGCUAAUACCGGAUAGGAGCUCCUGCUGCAUGGUGGGGGUUGGAAAGUUUCGGCGGUUGGGGAUGGACUCGCGGCUUAUCAGCUUGUUGGUGGGGUAGUGGCUUACCAAGGCUUUGACGGGUAGCCGGCCUGAGAGGGUGACCGGCGACAUUGGGACUGAGAUACGGCCCAGACUCCUACGGGAGGCAGCAGUGGGGAAUAUUGCACAAUGGGCGGAAGCCUGAUGCAGCAACGCCGCGUGCGGGAUGACGGCCUUCGGGUCGUAAACCGCUUUCGCCUGUGACGAAGCGUGAGUGACGGUAAUGGGUAAAGAAGCACCGGCUAACUACGUG